CAGUCGCCGCGGUAAUACGAGGGGGGCAAGCGUUGUUCGGAAUUAUUGGGCGUAAAGGGUGCGUAGGCGGCUUGACAAGUCUUGUGUGAAAUCGAUGGGCUCAACCCAUCGUCUGCACGAGAAACUACCGGGCUUGAGUGGUGGAGAGGUGAGUGGAAUUUCCGGUGUAGCGGUGAAAUGCGUAGAUAUCGGAAGGAACACCUGUGGCGAAAGCGGCUCACUGGACACUAACUGACGCUGAGGCACGAAAGCUAGGGGAGCAAACAGGAUUAGAUACCCGGGUAGUCCCUGUCUCUUAUAC
RNAcentral lists this ribosomal RNA (301 nucleotides) under uncultured bacterium. Its description in RNAcentral is "partial 16S ribosomal RNA". It matches the Rfam family "Bacterial small subunit ribosomal RNA", at positions 509 to 807 of the family's 1533-position model. The record is from RNAcentral.